Humulus lupulus (European hop) is the source of this 535-nucleotide long non-coding RNA. RefSeq lists it as uncharacterized. The transcript is spliced from 4 exons. NCBI's taxonomy places the organism in Eukaryota, Viridiplantae, Streptophyta, Magnoliopsida, Rosales, Cannabaceae. The record is from RefSeq and is a predicted model, not a curated record.
CGUAACUAGCAUUGUACAAAUUAGGGAAUAAGUGGCUGCAUUACCCAGAUUGAUUGUGUUGUGUGUACCAAGACAUGAGAACCAAGUACAGCAAAGGAUAGCAUAUAUACUUCAAUCAGAAAGGUCCUAUUUUUGAUGUAUCAUUACUUUGCUGCAACUGAGAUAUAUAAUGUGAUCCGUGUCUUUAUUGCUGCAUAUGUUUGGAUGAUUGGAUUUGGCAACUUUUCCUACUAUUACAUCAGAAAAGAUUUUAGUCUUGCACGUUUUACUCAGGGUAUACCGAUCCUGCAAAGCCAGAUCUCUCUCGGCUGCAUGAGUGGCAUUUCAGAUCUGGACUUGAUCGUUAUAUAUGGAUCAUUGGAAUGAUAUAUGCAUAUUGUCAUCCAAAUGUUGAGAAGUGGAUGGAAAAAUUGGAGGAAACAGAAACCAAGAAGAGAGUUUCAAUCAAAGGGAUUGUAGUUGCUGUUUCCGUAUUUGUGAGUAGCAUUUAUGUGACAACAAUUUUAGUAUCAUGAGCUUAUAUAAUGCCAGUGAU